Non-coding RNA from Camellia sinensis, 451 nucleotides. Lineage: Eukaryota; Viridiplantae; Streptophyta; Magnoliopsida; Ericales; Theaceae. The record is from RefSeq and is a predicted model, not a curated record.
AGAGAGAGCGAGAGACGAUAGAUAAAGGGAGAGGGAGAGAUCGACCGGGAGGAGGGGAGAUGAGAUCGAGCGAUCUGUCCAUCUACAGACCAGACAGAUCGAGCGAGAGGGAGAGGGAGAGGGAGAGAGAGAGAGAGAGAGAGUGAGAUCGAGAGAGAGGGAGACAGAGAGGGAGCGAAAGGGAGAGAGAGGGGGACGAACCUGAUCGACUAUCGUCGAGCUGCUGUUCGCGAACCUGAUCGACGAACCUGAGCGAGAGAGAGACGACGACAAACUCCUCUCCUCCUUUGCCGCUGCUGUUCGACCUAGAUUUGCCCCUGCCACUUUUGGGAGGUGGGAAAUUCUUUUGUUGUCUCAUUGGACCUAUUUGCGCCUUUGAAAGCUUGGUACUAUGCUGGCUGAGUGCAAAGCUGAUCGCUACUGCCAUAUAGCAUUCUUAGAAGGUAUUAUC